CGAGGGGAGUGAAAAAGAACCUGAAACCGUGUACGUACAAGCAGUGGGAGCACGCUUAGGCGUGUGACUGCGUACCUUUUGUAUAAUGGGUCAGCGACUUAUAUUCUGUAGCAAGGUUAACCGAAUAGGGGAGCCGAAGGGAAACCGAGUCUUAACUGGGCGUUAAGUUGCAGGGUAUAGACCCGAAACCCGGUGAUCUAGCCAUGGGCAGGUUGAAGGUUGGGUAACACUAACUGGAGGACCGAACCGACUAAUGUUGAAAAAUUAGCGGAUGACUUGUGGCUGGGGGUGAAAGGCCAAUCAAACCGGGAGAUAGCUGGUUCUCCCCGAAAGCUAUUUAGGUAGCGCCUCGUGAAUUCAUCUCCGGGGGUAGAGCACUGUUUCGGCAAGGGGGUCAUCCCGACUUACCAACCCGAUGCAAACUGCGAAUACCGGAGAAUGUUAUCACGGGAGACACACGGCGGGUGCUAACGUCCGUCGUGAAGAGGGAAACAACCCAGACCGCCAGCUAAGGUCCCAAAGUCAUGGUUAAGUGGGAAACGAUGUGGGAAGGCCCAGACAGCCAGGAUGUUGGCUUAGAAGCAGCCAUCAUUUAAAGAAAGCGUAAUAGCUCACUGGUCGAGUCGGCCUGCGCGGAAGAUGUAACGGGGCUAAACCAUGCACCGAAGCUGCGGCAGCGACGCUGAUGCGUUGUUGGGUAGGGGAGCGUUCUGUAAGCCUGUGAAGGUGUGCUGUGAGGCAUGCUGGAGGUAUCAGAAGUGCGAAUGCUGACAUAAGUAACGAUAAAGCGGGUGAAAAGCCCGCUCGCCGGAAGACCAAGGGUUCCUGUCCAACGUUAAUCGGGGCAGGGUGAGUCGACCCCUAAGGCGAGGCCGAAAGGCGUAGUCGAUGGGAAACAGGUUAAUAUUCCUGUACUUGGUGUUACUGCGAAGGGGGGACGGAGAAGGCUAUGUUGGCCGGGCGACGGUUGUCCCGGUUUAAGCGUGUAGGCUGGUUUUCCAGGCAAAUCCGGAAAAUCAAGGCUGAGGCGUGAUGACGAGGCACUACGGUGCUGAAGCAACAAAUGCCCUGCUUCCAGGAAAAGCCUCUAAGCAUCAGGUAACAUCAAAUCGUACCCCAAACCGACACAGGUGGUCAGGUAGAGAAUACCAAGGCGCUUGAGAGAACUCGGGUGAAGGAACUAGGCAAAAUGGUGCCGUAACUUCGGGAGAAGGCACGCUGAUAUGUAGGUGAAGCGACUUGCUCGUGGAGCUGAAAUCAGUCGAAGAUACCAGCUGGCUGCAACUGUUUAUUAAAAACACAGCACUGUGCAAACACGAAAGUGGACGUAUACGGUGUGACGCCUGCCCGGUGCCGGAAGGUUAAUUGAUGGGGUCAGCGCAAGCGAAGCUCUUGAUCGAAGCCCCGGUAAACGGCGGCCGUAACUAUAACGGUCCUAAGGUAGCGAAAUUCCUUGUCGGGUAAGUUCCGACCUGCACGAAUGGCGUAAUGAUGGCCAGGCUGUCUCCACCCGAGACUCAGUGAAAUUGAACUCGCUGUGAAGAUGCAGUGUACCCGCGGCAAGACGGAAAGACCCCGUGAACCUUUACUAUAGCUUGACACUGAACAUUGAGCCUUGAUGUGUAGGAUAGGUGGGAGGCUUUGAAGUGUGG
Molecule: ribosomal RNA, 1652 nt
Filed under: Escherichia coli
Lineage: Bacteria; Pseudomonadati; Pseudomonadota; Gammaproteobacteria; Enterobacterales; Enterobacteriaceae
Description: partial 23S ribosomal RNA
Rfam family: Bacterial large subunit ribosomal RNA
Source: RNAcentral